CCAGAGAAUUUAGCAGAGAUGCUUUAGUGCCUUCGGGAACUCUGAGACAGGUGCUGCAUGGCUGUCGUCAGCUCGUGUUGUGAAAUGUUGGGUUAAGUCCCGCAACGAGCGCAACCCUUAUCCUUUGUUGCCAGCACGUAAUGGUGGGAACUCAAGGGAGACUGCCGGUGAUAAACCGGAGGAAGGUGGGGAUGACGUCAAGUCAUCAUGGCCCUUACGAGCAGGGCUACACACGUGCUACAAUGGCGCAUACAAAGAGAAGCGACCUCGCGAGAGCAAGCGGACCUCAUAAAGUGCGUCGUAGUCCGGAUUGGAGUCUGCAACUCGACUCCAUGAAGUCGGAAUCGCUAGUAAUCGUAAAUCAGAAUGUUACGGUGAAUACGUUCCCGGGCCUUGUACACACCGCCCGUCACACCAUGGGAGUGGGUUGCAAAAGAAGUAGAUAGCUUAACCUUCGGGAGGGCGUUUACCACUUUGUGAUUCAUGACUGGGGUGAAGUCGUAACAAGGUAGGCGUAGUGCU
Molecule: ribosomal RNA, 522 nt
Filed under: uncultured bacterium
Lineage: Bacteria
Description: bacterial SSU rRNA
Rfam family: Bacterial small subunit ribosomal RNA
Source: RNAcentral